UGGGGAAUAUUGGACAAUGGGGGGAACCCUGAUCCAGCCAUGCCGCGUGUGUGAAGAAGGCCUUAUGGUCGUAAAGCACUUUAAGCGAGGAGGAGGGUACUGGUAUUAAUACUACCAGGUACUGGACGUUACUCGCAGAAUAAGCACCGGCUAACUCUGUGCCAGCAGCCGCGGUAAUACAGAGGGUGCGAGCGGUAAUCGGAUUUACUGGGCGUAAAGCGUGCGUAGGCGGCUAAUUGAGUCGGAUGUGAAAUCCCCGAGCUUAACUUGGGAAUUGCAUUCGAUACUGGUUAGCUAGAGUGUGGGAGAGGAUGGUAGAAUUCCAGGUGUAGCGGUGAAAUGCGUAGAGAUCUGGAGGAAUACCGAUGGCGAAGGCAGCCAUCUGGCCUAACACUGACGCUGAGGUACGAAAGCAUGGGGAGCAAACAGG
RNAcentral lists this ribosomal RNA (430 nucleotides) under Pseudomonadota bacterium. RNAcentral describes it as "Proteobacteria bacterium partial 16S ribosomal RNA". It matches the Rfam family "Bacterial small subunit ribosomal RNA", at positions 355 to 776 of the family's 1533-position model. Lineage: Bacteria; Pseudomonadati; Pseudomonadota. The record is from RNAcentral.